Molecule: long non-coding RNA, 331 nt
Filed under: Populus trichocarpa (black cottonwood)
Lineage: Eukaryota; Viridiplantae; Streptophyta; Magnoliopsida; Malpighiales; Salicaceae
Description: long non-coding RNA (PTRI_LNC003411)
Source: RNAcentral
GAGGAGUUUGUGAGGAUGAUGCUGGCCAAGUGAUGGGAGACCUUUGUUUGUUGACCUUGAAGCAUAUAGUUUAUUAGGCUUUGUGGUAGCUUCUUGUGUUUGAAUGGGAUAAUACGUACUUUCAGUUUCUCUUCCAGUCUUUAACCUCUUAUGCUCAGAUAGUCUUGUGUUUGAAUGGGAUGAUACAUGCUUUCAGUUUCUCUUCCAGUCUUUAACCUUAUGCUCAGCUAGUUUCAUACUAGUAUGCUGUUCUUAUGAAGUUCAUCUUUCUUCUGUGUUAAUGAAUGUUGGUUUAUAUCAUAAUGUAGAUUCAUAUCAUAAUUCAUAUUCA